RNAcentral lists this ribosomal RNA (958 nucleotides) under Legionella pneumophila. RNAcentral describes it as "partial 23S ribosomal RNA". It matches the Rfam family "Bacterial large subunit ribosomal RNA", at positions 1 to 1005 of the family's 2925-position model. The record is from RNAcentral. Lineage: Bacteria; Pseudomonadati; Pseudomonadota; Gammaproteobacteria; Legionellales; Legionellaceae.
AGAGAAGCGCAAACGGUGGAUGCCUUGGCAGUAAGAGGCGAAGAAGGACGUGGAAUCCUGCGAAAAGCUAUGGGGAGCUGGAAACGAGCGUUGAGCCAUAGAUGUCCGAAUGGGGGAACCCGGCUGCAGCGAUGCGGUCAUUUGCAUUUGAAUACAUAGGAUGCAAAGGCGAACUCGGGGAACUGAAACAUCUAAGUACCCGAAGGAAAAGAAAUCAAGAGAGAUUCUCCAAGUAGCGGCGAGCGAACGGGGAGGAGCCUGGCGUGAUUUAUUAUUGAACUGAGUAGAACAAUUUGGGAAAGUUGGCCGUAGAGGGUGAAAGCCCCGUAUACGAAGGUUUGAUGAGGAACUAGGCACGCGAACAAGUAGGCCGGGACACGUGAAAUCCUGGUUGAAGAUGGGUGGACCAUCAUCCAAGGCUAAAUACUACUUACUGACCGAUAGUGAACCAGUACCGUGAGGGAAAGGUGAAAAGAACCCCGGAGAGGGGAGUGAAAUAGAAUCUGAAACCGUUUGCGUACAAGCAGUGGGAGCAUAGUUUAGGCUGUGUGACUGCGUACCUUUUGUAUAAUGGGUCAGCGAGUUACUUUCAGUGGCGAGGUUAACUGAAUAAGGGAGCCGUAGAGAAAUCGAGUCUGAAUAGGGCGAUAGUCGCUGGGAGUAGACCCGAAACCGGGCGAUCUAGCCAUGUGCAGGAUGAAGGUUGGGUAACACCAACUGGAGGUCCGAACCGGGUAAUGUUGAAAAAUUAUCGGAUGACGUGUGGCUAGGAGUGAAAGGCUAAUCAAGCCCGGAGAUAGCUGGUUCUCCCCGAAAGCUAUUUAGGUAGCGCCUCGUGAAUGAUUACUGGGGGUAGAGCACUGUUUCGGCUAGGGGGCUGUCAUGGCUUACCAAACCGAUGCAAACUCCGAAUACCGGCUAAUUGGAUCACGGGAGACACACGGCGGGUGCUAACGUC